Molecule: long non-coding RNA, 300 nt
Filed under: Prunus persica (peach)
Lineage: Eukaryota; Viridiplantae; Streptophyta; Magnoliopsida; Rosales; Rosaceae
Description: long non-coding RNA (PPER_LNC007355)
Source: RNAcentral
AGUGUUUGAAAACUCGGCCUAGGCGGGCGCUAGGCGGCUAGGCGGUCGCUAGACGGGCGCUAGGCGGCUGCUAGGCGGUAGCUAGGCGGGCGCUGGGCGGCUAGGCGGUAGCUAGGCGGGCGCUGGGCGGCUAGGCGGUAGCUAGGAGGGCGCUGGGCGGCUAGGCGGUCGCUAGGCGGCUAGGCGGUAGCUAGGCGGUUGCUAGGCGGCUAGGCGGUCGCUAGGCGGUUGCUAGGUGGCUAGGCCGGAGCUAGGCGGCUGGGCGGGCGCCUAGGCGGGUUGGGUCUUUUUCCGGUGCCG